This 711-nucleotide ribosomal RNA is filed under the name Bacillus cereus. RNAcentral describes it as "bacterial SSU rRNA". It matches the Rfam family "Bacterial small subunit ribosomal RNA", at positions 86 to 782 of the family's 1533-position model. Lineage: Bacteria; Bacillati; Bacillota; Bacilli; Caryophanales; Bacillaceae. The record is from RNAcentral.
AUGAAGUUAGCGGCGGACGGGUGAGUAACACGUGGGUAACCUGCCCGUAAGACUGGGAUAACUCCGGGAAACCGGGGCUAAUACCGGAUAACAUUUUGAACCGCAUGGUUCGAAAUUGAAAGGCGGCUUCGGCUGUCACUUAUGGAUGGACCCGCGUCGCAUUAGCUAGUUGGUGAGGUAACGGCUCACCAAGGCAACGAUGCGUAGCCGACCUGAGAGGGUGAUCGGCCACACUGGGACUGAGACACGGCCCAGACUCCUACGGGAGGCAGCAGUAGGGAAUCUUCCGCAAUGGACGAAAGUCUGACGGAGCAACGCCGCGUGAGUGAUGAAGGCUUUCGGGUCGUAAAACUCUGUUGUUAGGGAAGAACAAGUGCUAGUUGAAUAGGCUGGCACCUUGACGGUACCUAACCAGAAAGCCACGGCUAACUACGUGCCAGCAGCCGCGGUAAUACGUAGGUGGCAAGCGUUAUCCGGAAUUAUUGGGCGUAAAGCGCGCGCAGGUGGUUUCUUAAGUCUGAUGUGAAAGCCCACGGCUCAACCGUGGAGGGUCAUUGGAAACUGGGAGACUUGAGUGCAGAAGAGGAAAGUGGAAUUCCAUGUGUAGCGGUGAAAUGCGUAGAGAUAUGGAGGAACACCAGUGGCGAAGGCGACUUUCUGGUCUGUAACUGACACUGAGGCGCGAAAGCGUGGGGAGCAAACAGGAUUAGA